RNAcentral lists this transfer RNA (97 nucleotides) under Cytobacillus firmus. RNAcentral's name for it is "tRNA-Sec". It matches the Rfam family "Selenocysteine transfer RNA". RNAcentral also lists the same sequence under 7 other names. The record is from RNAcentral. Lineage: Bacteria; Bacillati; Bacillota; Bacilli; Caryophanales; Bacillaceae.
GGGGCUGAUUGGGGUGCUGGUGCCCUCCACGGUCUUCAAAACCGCUUGUGACCACCGUGUGUGGUCAGCUGGGUUCGAUUCCCAGGCGGUCCCGCCA